Molecule: small RNA, 125 nt
Filed under: Marmota monax (woodchuck)
Lineage: Eukaryota; Metazoa; Chordata; Mammalia; Rodentia; Sciuridae
Source: RNAcentral
GCCGGGCAUGGUUGUGUACGUCUGUAAUCCCAGUGGCUUGGGAGGCUGAGACAGGAGGAUAGUGAGUUCAAAGCUAGUCUUAGCCAUGGUGAGGUGCUGAGCAACUCAGUGAGACCUUGUCUCUA